AUGGAGCAGGGCUGGGAAUGCAGCACUGCUGGGAAUGCAGCACUGCUGGGAGUGCAGCACUGCUGGGAAUGCAGCACUGCUGGGGAUGCAGCACUGCUGGGAGUGCAGCACUGCUGGGAGUGCAGCCCGAGCCGGGAGUGCAGCCCGCGCUGGCUGAGCGUGGAUGAAAUCCCGGUGGGAUGCAGCUGGAGCAGGAGCAGCGCAGGGCAGGCGGUGGCACACGGAGCUCCUGCAGGGAGCGGAACACAGCACGGAGCAGGAGGCCACAGGCAGCUUCCCACGGCACAGGGCAGCAGCAGCUCAGAGCAGGGUGCCAGGGGCAGAUCGCCCUGGCACAGCAGCAGCAGCACCAGCACAGAGCAGGGUGCCAGGGGCAGAUCUCCCUGGCAGGAGCAGCAGGAGCAGCACUGGCACAAACCCUGGCACAGAGCAGUGCAGCCCAGGGUGCCAGAGCCAGUUUCCUAUGGCACAGCAGGAGCAGCACAGAGCAGGAUGCCAGAGGUGGUUUUCCCUGGCACAGCAGGAGCAGCACCAGCACAGAGCAGCAUUUCAGAGCCAGCUCUCCCAAGGAUUUCAGAGCCAGCUCUCCCAAGGAUUUCAGAGCCAUCUUUCCCAAGGAUUUCAGAGCCAGCUUUCCCAGGAGCAGCCCCACACGGCUCUUGCACAGGGACAAUUCCUGUUUGCAGCUCUCUCCCCGUGUGCCCCUGGCAAAGGGCAGCCCUGGGGUGGUGCCAGCGGCCGUGCCCCAUCUCCAGGCCAGGCAGGAGCAGGCACCAGGGCUCUCUCCUGAGGGUGCCCAGAGAUUCUGGAAGGCUGCAGGGGGAACGUGACGAGGAUUCUGAGGAGCAUCAGUGAGAUUCCUGUGGUGGGUCGGGGAUUCCUCCUGGAGCCAGGUGCAGCUCCCACGGUCCCAGUUCACGGGAGGGCUCUGGGCACAGGCAGCACGCUGGGGACCUCAGACCCGGAGGAUUUCGGGGCUUGGGGCGGAAUGUGGCCGGUGGGACGCUCCACGGGGCUCUCGCAGCCUGCUCCUCCCCUCAGCAAGGAGCACCCCCGAUGGCAAAGAGGGAGAAAUCAGCUGGGGACCUGCAGGAGAGGGGCUGAUUUCCCAGAGGGAACGGAUCCGCCCGGGGGCUCCUGCAGCAGCUCCCACCCACCCCUGGGAAGGGGCUGCCGGGGGUGCAGCCCCGUCCCCGACAGCCCCUCGGAGCAGGACCAGGGCACGUCCUGGGACGGAGCUGCCGGGCUCGGCCGAGUCUUCUGCCAGCUGCUGCCUGCCCAGAGCGGGGCUGGGCCCCCCGA
This 1302-nucleotide long non-coding RNA is filed under the name Serinus canaria (Common canary). RNAcentral describes it as "lncRNA (ENSSCAG00000000008.1)". The record is from RNAcentral. Lineage: Eukaryota; Metazoa; Chordata; Aves; Passeriformes; Fringillidae.